GGCGUAGUUCAGUUGGUUAGAGCGUCAGAUUGUGGUUCUGAAUGUCGUGGGUUCGAGUCCCACCGUC
Molecule: transfer RNA, 67 nt
Filed under: Prevotella intermedia
Lineage: Bacteria; Pseudomonadati; Bacteroidota; Bacteroidia; Bacteroidales; Prevotellaceae
Rfam family: tRNA
About the family: Transfer RNA (tRNA) molecules are approximately 80 nucleotides in length. Their secondary structure includes four short double-helical elements and three loops (D, anti-codon, and T loops). Further hydrogen bonds mediate the characteristic L-shaped molecular structure. tRNAs have two regions of fundamental functional importance: the anti-codon, which is responsible for specific mRNA codon recognition, and the 3' end, to which the tRNAs corresponding amino acid is attached (by aminoacyl-tRNA synthetases). tRNAs cope with the degeneracy of the genetic code in two manners: having more than one tRNA (with a specific anti-codon) for a particular amino acid; and 'wobble' base-pairing, i.e. permitting non-standard base-pairing at the 3rd anti-codon position.
Source: RNAcentral